AUAGCCAACCAACCACUGAAAUUCAUAUCUGUGGUUAAUAUUUAAAAAGAUCUUACCCUUUGGAUAUCAUAACACAUACACAUAUAAUUUUCAUAGAUUUGACAAGGACUAUACUGUAGUAUUCCUCAACUAACAUUCACAAAUCAAUGGUUAUGCUAUGUUACUUUAUCAUUUUUACAGUGCUUUAACAUAUCGCACUAUGUUUUACACAUUUUAUCGAUAUGGUAAGUGAAGUUCGUGGAAUUAGGGGAAAGAAUUCCAUUGCCAGAGCGUAAAGAAGCUUGUCUCAAAUCCAGCUUCCCUAAUUCUUUUUACUAUGCCUAUGGUGCUUCAUGCAGCUAUUAGUAUGAAAAGAAGAUUUAUUGACAAGCAUUAAAAUUAUUAAUGGUCAUAGAAAUAGUACCAUCAACAUCCUAAAAACAGUAGCGUAAGCCUUGGAAUAGCUGUUCUCCUGUUCUCCUGUUAACACUAGCCACAUUAUCACAAGUGUAUUUCUAAAUAUUAUAAAUUAUGAAUUUGUCUACAGCUUCCUUCUGGAGGAAAUAACCUCAACAUGUGCACUGAGAGGAAACCAUAAAUCAGUCACUGCAGCAAAUGAUUGUUUUCUACUUUCUAAUCAACACUACCUAAAUAUCCACCCUCAUUUUUCUUAUACUAUAAUUGUACAGAAUCAUUACUCUUUUUUUAAUUCUUAGCCCGUUGAAAGAUUUAUAUUUUCUUGCCAUACACCUUGAUACUGAUAUUAUUUCCCAGGAAAAAUGAUAUUUUAGCAUGGCUAUAAUGCUCUGCAUGGCACUAAUAUUACAGAGUCUAUCUGUAAAAUGCCUAUGUGAUAAACAGGAUAAUUCCAUUUAAAUAAGAAUAGUGUGGGAGACAUAAACCAGGGGAUAGAUUCGACGAGACAUCUUACUCUUCUGCGAGGACUGUAGAUAACACCUUAUGCCUGGUAACUUAUGGAAGAAAAGCACUUAAAUAUUACUAAGGCUGAGAAAUAAGGAAGGGGCUCAUUGAACAUUGAUCAUGGACCAGUACCUAUCUCAUACACUUUGCUUAUAUGUUAUAAUGUUUAUGAAACUGGCCCAAUUGUCCUAUAGAACUGAUGUUUAUGGUUUCUUUUGAAAAAAUAAAAAUAAAAAGUUGACCCUCCCAGUAUUAAAACUGAAGAAACUUACACUUUUCUUAUCUGAGUUCCUUUCUCAGGAAACCAACUAUCAGCCCUCCAAGAUAGUUUCAAGGAACUGCAACUCACCAGAUAACUGCACCUGGACAAUGAGAUGCCAGACCCAGACCCCUUGCCAAUUAUGGUUGCCUAAGUAACCUGCUGCUGCCUGUUGACCACCUUCUCUUCUUAAUCCUCUCCUAAUUCCUAUUUUUCCAUACUUAGUUACAUUUCUUCCCUUAUUUUUCUACCUCUAAUUUUAGUCCAUUGAGAAGAUGGAUUUUUGAGUGAUGUCCCAUUCUCCUUGGCUGCAGCAUCCAAAUAAAGCCCCUUUCCCUGGCAAUACUCAUUGUUUCAGUGACUGGCUUUCUGUGAAGCAAGCAACAGGACCUAGACUGAACUCUUGAUGUUUCAGUAACAUUUAGUUACACUCCUAGAAAAUAUGGAAAGAAUGUCCAGAUGUUGUUUUUGGAGAAGAAGAACUACAAAGUUAGAGCAAAUACUCUUAUUUAUAAGAAGAAUGAACUCAGUGUGUGAGAAGGAGAAUACAAAUGCAACAGCCUCAAAUUAGCAGUGGAUGCCUACUGGGCUCCUGCAACCGCUUUCCACGGGUGAGCAAACUCUCAAAGCUUGAGCUGUUGCUCAGGUUUUCCCUAGGGAAGUGUUGAUGGUGUCCUGGGGACACUGCACUGCAGUGAUGGCCAGCAAGCCUUGUAAAUACAAAGCAUGGUACAGGAUAUGCAUGAUAAAAUCACCUUGCUCAAAUAAAUGCAGCAGGAAAAAUGGAUUUCAUCUUCUGAUUCCUUUAGGUUCCACCAGAUGGCUAGCUGGUAAUGACCCAGACACCUCUGAGUAAACUCCCAGAAAGCCUGACAAAUAUGUUGCAAACUUAGCCAUAUGUAGAGUGGCUACACCACAUUUGCAACGCUCUCUUAACAGCAUGACCUUCUUUAAUAGUGAUCACUUCCAUUUUUAGGCCCUUUAUGCAUUACUUUUGUCAUUUUAUAUUGCUUCUUUUUUUCUGAUCCUUGCAAAAACCCUGCCAAGAAAGCAAGAAAAUAUGUUUCCCCCUCAGGACCUGGACAACAUCAGAUAGAAUGUGUCACAUAAAUAUGUAUUCAUAAUGAAAGUUUUAUAGGUAUUAAAAAUGAAAGCUCAAAAUGGCUAGGUGAUAUUCCUCAAUUCAUAUGAACAUAGAUCUCUUACCUUUUUUCUUGAUAUUAUAUUGAAUAUGUAAAGAUAUUUGAAAUAGUUUAUAUAUGAGUAAUUAAACCAGCUCAUCUUUUUCUCUGUUAUCUUCUUUAUUGCUUUAAAUCUUACAAACCCGUUUACCAACCAAAACUAAAGAACCAACUAUAUUGCUUUAAAUUGUAAAAAUAUGUAAGUAUCCACACAUAGACAUACAGGAGUUAGAAUCCCAAAGGGAAAUACUUUUUACCAGACAUAGAGGGAACCAGAAUAGACAUAAAGCCAUAAGGACACCCUGAGUGUCAAAAAGAGAUCUCAGAGUUCUCUACAGUUUUAUUACUGUUUUUAGAUUUUCACUCAUUCAUAAGAUUAUAUUGGUGGCAACCAUUUAGUCCAUUUAAUUAUGCCCCCAAUCUGUCACAGUUGAGACAAAAGUUGACCAACCUAGUAUAAUCAGAAAACUUAUUCUUGGAGUUUGAAGCAAAAAUUAGAUUAAAAUGUUUUUGGAUGUGACUGGAUCAUGUUAGUGGUUAUCUACAGGGCACAAAGUCCAGCCUUCAGAAAGAAAGUAUAGAAAAAAUAGAUAAAACUCUUAGAGGAUAGAAGGAGAAAAAAAAGAGAGAGAGAAUAUUGAUUAAUUUUCUCUUAGUUCGUUCCAGAAAUUUUCUCAGACCAAGUUGUACUUCAAUCUUUUGGUUCCUUUAGUCACCACCCUCUUCUUUUUUGAUUUUUCCAAUUUGUGUUAACACUUGCCUGUAUUGAUCUCUUGCAUUUGCAGCCACAUGAAUGUGAAAUCCAUAAGGGCAGAGAGUUUUGCUGGUUUUGUUCACUAUCAUGUCCCUUAACACCUAAAAUAAUGCUUAGCAUGUAGAAAUCUCUCAAUAAGUAGCUUUUGCAUGAAUGAAUGAAUUAAAUUAAAUGAAUGAAAGAACAAAAGAAUAUUAACUAAAUAAAGCCAAGGGUCAGGAAUUAAACAUAUCACAAACAUGCUUGGAAUCUUUUACUACAUAAUUGCCUGCAGAAUAUCAUUACUAUACAGUAACACCUAGAGAACAUCCGUAAAUUAAAUAGUUUGAUUUACUGAAAGGACUAAUUUUAUAUCAGCAAAAAUGACUUUAGUAAUUUUCAGAUAAACAUUUGUCAAACGUAUAAUCUUGAAACUAUUUUCUUUAUCUCUCCUUUCUAUAAAUAUAAUGAACAAGUAUUUAAUAAAAGACUUCUUGUUUGUGACACAA
This is a long non-coding RNA of Homo sapiens (human), 3582 nucleotides long. RefSeq lists it as uncharacterized. The record is from RefSeq and is a predicted model, not a curated record. The transcript has 2 exons. NCBI's taxonomy places the organism in Eukaryota, Metazoa, Chordata, Mammalia, Primates, Hominidae.